Molecule: microRNA precursor, 190 nt
Filed under: Oryza glumipatula
Lineage: Eukaryota; Viridiplantae; Streptophyta; Magnoliopsida; Poales; Poaceae
Description: MIR812 microRNA precursor family
Rfam family: MIR812 microRNA precursor family
Source: Rfam by way of RNAcentral
AAAUAGGCAAACCCUGGGUUUUCGUGUCCAACUUUGACUAUCCGUCUUAUAUGAAAUUUUUUUAUAAUUCGUAUUUUCAUUGCUGUUAGAUGAUAAAACAUGAUUAAUAUUUUAUGCGUGACUUGUCUUUUUAUUUUUUUUUCUAAUUUUUUCAAAUAAGACGGACGGUCAAACAUUAGACACGGAAACC